CACACUGGAACUGAGACACGGUCCAGACUCCUACGGGAGGCAGCAGUGGGGAAUAUUGGACAAUGGGCGAAAGCCUGAUCCAGCCAUGCCGCGUGUGUGAAGAAGGUCUUCGGAUUGUAAAGCACUUUAAGUUGGGAGGAAGGGCAUUAACCUAAUACGUUAGUGUUUUGACGUUACCGACAGAAUAAGCACCGGCUAACUCUGUGCCAGCAGCCGCGGUAAUAGAGGAGGUGCAAGCGUUAAUCGGAAUUACUGGGCGUAAAGCGCG
Molecule: ribosomal RNA, 268 nt
Filed under: uncultured Pseudomonas sp.
Lineage: Bacteria; Pseudomonadati; Pseudomonadota; Gammaproteobacteria; Pseudomonadales; Pseudomonadaceae
Description: partial 16S ribosomal RNA
Rfam family: Bacterial small subunit ribosomal RNA
Source: RNAcentral